UCCCUGGUAGUCUAGUAGCUAUAACUCCGCACUCCCAAUGCAGAAGUCAUAGGUUUGAUCCCUGGUCAGGGAA
Molecule: transfer RNA, 73 nt
Filed under: Capra hircus (goat)
Lineage: Eukaryota; Metazoa; Chordata; Mammalia; Artiodactyla; Bovidae
Also listed under: 1 other name
Rfam family: tRNA
About the family: Transfer RNA (tRNA) molecules are approximately 80 nucleotides in length. Their secondary structure includes four short double-helical elements and three loops (D, anti-codon, and T loops). Further hydrogen bonds mediate the characteristic L-shaped molecular structure. tRNAs have two regions of fundamental functional importance: the anti-codon, which is responsible for specific mRNA codon recognition, and the 3' end, to which the tRNAs corresponding amino acid is attached (by aminoacyl-tRNA synthetases). tRNAs cope with the degeneracy of the genetic code in two manners: having more than one tRNA (with a specific anti-codon) for a particular amino acid; and 'wobble' base-pairing, i.e. permitting non-standard base-pairing at the 3rd anti-codon position.
Source: Rfam by way of RNAcentral